This 458-nucleotide ribosomal RNA is filed under the name uncultured bacterium. Its description in RNAcentral is "partial 16S ribosomal RNA". It matches the Rfam family "Bacterial small subunit ribosomal RNA", at positions 338 to 795 of the family's 1533-position model. The record is from RNAcentral.
CCUACGGGGGGCAGCAGUGGGGAAUAUUGCACAAUGGGGGAAACCCUGAUGCAGCGACGCCGCGUGAGUGAAGAAGUAAUUCGUUACGUAAAGCUCUAUCAGCAGGGAAGAAACACUGACCUUACGGUCAGCAGACGGUACCUGAGUAAGAAGCCCCGGCUAACUACGUGCCAGCAGCCGCGGUAAUAUGGAGGGGGCAAGCGUUUUCCGGAUUUACUGGGUGUAAAGGGAGUGUAGACGGUGCGCCAAGACUGGAGUGAAAUGCCGCAGCUUAACUGCGGAACUGCUUUGGAAACUGGCGAACUAGAGUGCGGGAGGGGUAAGCGGAAUUCCUGGUGUAGCGGUGAAAUGCGUAGAUAUUAGGAGGAACACCGGUGGCGAAGGCGGCUUACUGGACCGUAACUGACGUUGAGGCUCGAAAGCGUGGGGAGCAAACAGGAUUAGAUACCCGAGUAGUC